This 433-nucleotide ribosomal RNA is filed under the name uncultured bacterium. RNAcentral describes it as "partial 16S ribosomal RNA". It matches the Rfam family "Bacterial small subunit ribosomal RNA", at positions 29 to 507 of the family's 1533-position model. The record is from RNAcentral.
AACGAACGCUGGCGGCAGGCCUAACACAUGCAAGUCGGGCGCGCCCUUCGGGGUGAGCGGCGGACGGGGGAGUAACGCGUGGGAACGUGCCCUUUUCUACGGAAUAGCCUCGGGAAACUGAGAGUAAUACCGUAUACGCCCUUUGGGGGAAAGAUUUAUCGGAAAAGGAUCGGCCCGCGUUGGAUUAGGUAGUUGGUGGGGUAAUGGCCUACCAAGCCGACGAUCCGUAGCUGGUUUGAGAGGAUGAUCAGCCACACUGGGACUGAGACACGGCCCAGACUCCUACGGGCGGCAGCAGUGGGGAAUCUUAGACAAUGGGGGCAACCCUGAUCUAGCCAUGCCGCGUGAGUGAUGAAGGCCUUAGGGUUGUAAAGCUCUUUCAGCUGGGAAGAUAACGACGGUACCAGCAGAAGAAGCCCCGGCUAACUCCGUG